Molecule: ribosomal RNA, 786 nt
Filed under: uncultured Neocallimastigales
Lineage: Eukaryota; Fungi; Neocallimastigomycota; Neocallimastigomycetes; Neocallimastigales
Description: partial large subunit ribosomal RNA
Rfam family: Eukaryotic large subunit ribosomal RNA
Source: RNAcentral
UAUCUCUGUAGAGUCUGCAUAUCAAUAAGCGGAGGAAAAGAAACUAACAAGGAUUCCCCUAGUAACGGCGAGUGAAGCGGGAAGAGCUCAAAUUUGAAAUCUUCAAGGUUUGACCUUGACGAAUUGUAGUUUAAAGAAGUGUUUUCGGUUAGAGGAGUAGGUAAAAGUUCUUUGGAAUAGGACAUCAUAGAGGGUGAGAAUCCCGUAUUUGACCAUUCUUUCUAGCUUUGUGAUACACUUUCAAAGAGUCGGAUUGUUUGGGAAUGCAGUCCAAAAUGGGUGGUAAAUUUCAUCUAAAGCUAAAUAUUGGCGAGAGACCGAUAGCGAACAAGUACCGUGAGGGAAAGAUGAAAAGAACUUUGAAAAGAGAGUUAAACAGUACGUGAAAUUGUCAAAAGGGAAGCGUUUGACACCAGUGUUGUUUUUCCGAAAAUCAAUUAAAAAUGGAUUCAGUGCUAAGUUAGUAUUGACCUUAUCAGCUUGCAUGCUUAGUUUUGGGUUCAUUUUUGAUGCACUUUUCGGUUAACAAGUCAACAUCAAUUUCCUUUGCUGUAAAAAGGCUAGGAAGGAAGGUGGCUUCAGUUUCGGUUGAAGUGUUUAUAGCCUUCUGUCUCUGCAGGUCGGAGAGAUUGAGGUCUGCAGCGUAGAUCCUUCGGGGCUAGAUACGUUCGUGCUAAGUUAUAGCCUUUGUAUAGACAACAUUGUUGACUAUGAUUAGUCAUUGUAGAUUUACUCGCAGAUAGCUAUUUUACCUACGCUUAGGAUGUUGAUCUACAGAGCGAGAGU